RNAcentral lists this long non-coding RNA (1471 nucleotides) under Brachypodium distachyon (stiff brome). Its description in RNAcentral is "long non-coding RNA (BDIS_LNC004650)". The record is from RNAcentral. Lineage: Eukaryota; Viridiplantae; Streptophyta; Magnoliopsida; Poales; Poaceae.
GGAGGUGGUUUCCUGUCUAGUCAACAUACAGUGGGUAGCCUACAGUGAGUAGCCCGCAGUGAAACUAGGGCACGUAUGGACCUAGCUACAGUGCGUCCUGCCGUGCAUGCACGCCAGCGCAGCAAAGGCAAUCUGCCUUGGAUCCUCGUUCGGCGCGUGUCCAGAGCGCGUCCCCCAUGCAGACCGUGGCCCCUGUGGUAUCCCCUUGAGUAUAAAAGGAGGACCAGCACCACCGGUCAAGGGGUUCGGGUUCCGGUUUCUUAAGGUUAGACUCGAGCGUAGAUUGCAAUCCCGAGAGAUUUAGUCCAGAAGUAGGAAGUAGCCACUUAGCAGAAAGGGAAGAGAGCCCCCGGGGACUCCCCCGGCAACCUUAUAAACACUUGUUCAUUGGCUAAUAAACACUCAGAGGCAGGACGUAGGGUUUUACACCUCCGGGUGGCCCGAACCUGGGUAAACCGACUUGUGCAGUGCAACGCCCGUCAUUGGCCUCGCCGGCGAUCGCUGGACCGAUCCCCAACGCCCACUGCCGAACCAAAAAGGGGGUGCCUCACAUCCCCGGUGUCUAAGCCCCGGGCUACGACAUACCACGUGUCGGCCGGAUGUACAAUGGUUACCCGAAUACAACCACUCUGUUUCUUUUCGCCUGCGGCUUCAAGCAGCAGUUCCCUUUUUUAUAGAAGAACCAGAAAAUGAAGCCGUCACAUAUUUUUUUGCAAUCAUAAAUAUUAAAGAUGUAUGAACAAAUGAAAAGAAUACGAUUCAACAAUCUAUAUAUGGUCGUUCUGAAGCACGUACAAAACAUUGUAUAUAUUCUCUAACAACAUCAAAGAUUCUGCUAGGGGUUCUGGUCACGCAACGCUAUACUAUCUUAAUCCUCAAUUAUUAUUAUUUUCUAUUUCUUUUUUCUUUUUUUUCGAAGGGGGGGGGCUGUCGUUGGGGCGUGGAUGGGUUGAUGCACCACACCGGAGAUUUGUUACCUCCAGCUAGGGUGCUGGCAACUGGGCUGAAUGAUGGGCUACGCCUGUUGAUUACCAAAACGUAAACAUGGGCUGCGAUCGAAAAUGUCUCAUGUGCACUUAAAUGCGGUCCUCCCUUCCGGACGCGCUGGCGUCACUCCAUGUGGUCCCGGACCUGCUCCUGUCAUCCACCUAAGGAACAUGUGUACGCCGUGACGCUGCACAUCUCAUUUGUCCGAUCAACAGCGGAAGUCAGAAGAAAUGAUCGUUGGGAACAAACGUAAACAAAUUUCGGGGACGGACGUUCUACGCAAAACCAUUACAUGCUGCACGCUCGAAUACAACUGUCGCACCAGUGGCACCCGGGGUACCACCGCUGCGCGACGCGUGGCCCCCUCCCCCGGGUUCCCGGGAAGGUCUCAUCCCGGGGAGCGCCAACGAGCUUCCCGGCAAGCUACCUGCCCCGAAAUGGGCUAGCGGGGCCUCCCGGAAUAUUCCCGACUAGGCACCUCCCG